This 64-nucleotide transfer RNA is filed under the name Anadara antiquata. RNAcentral describes it as "tRNA-Phe". The record is from RNAcentral. Lineage: Eukaryota; Metazoa; Mollusca; Bivalvia; Arcoida; Arcidae.
CUACUGAAGGGGUAGAAGCUGAUCUAAAAAAUCUAAAAGAGAAGUUGGAUGCUUCUGUCGUAGG